AUACUUACCUAGCAGGGAGAUACCACGAUAAUGAAGGUGGUUUUCCCAGGGUAAGGCUUAUGCACUGCACUCCAGAUGUGCUGACACCUGUAAUUUCCCCAAAUGUCAGAAACUCAAUUGCAAAAAAUAA
This 130-nucleotide small nuclear RNA is filed under the name Dasypus novemcinctus (nine-banded armadillo). RNAcentral describes it as "U1 spliceosomal RNA (ENSDNOG00000028559.1)". It matches the Rfam family "U1 spliceosomal RNA". Rfam says of the family: U1 is a small nuclear RNA (snRNA) component of the spliceosome (involved in pre-mRNA splicing). Its 5' end forms complementary base pairs with the 5' splice junction, thus defining the 5' donor site of an intron. There are significant differences in sequence and secondary structure between metazoan and yeast U1 snRNAs, the latter being much longer (568 nucleotides as compared to 164 nucleotides in human). Lineage: Eukaryota; Metazoa; Chordata; Mammalia; Cingulata; Dasypodidae. The record is from RNAcentral.